GGCUUAGAACUAACGCUGGCAGUGCGUCUUAAGCAUGCAAGUCAAACGGGAUGUAGCAAUACAUUCAGUGGCGAACGGGUGAGUAACGCGUGGAUGAUCUACCUAUGAGAUGGGGAUAACUAUUAGAAAUAGUAGCUAAUACCGAAUAAAGUCAAUUAAUUUGUUAAUUGAUGAAAGGAAGCCUUUAAAGCUUCGCUUGUAGAUGAGUCUGCGUCUUAUUAGCUAGUUGGUAGGGUAAAUGCCUACCAAGGCGAUGAUAAGUAACCGGCCUGAGAGGGUGAACGGUCACACUGGAACUGAGAUACGGUCCAGACUCCUACGGGAGGCAGCAGCUAAGAAUCUUCCGCAAUGGGCGAAAGCCUGACGGAGCGACACUGCGUGAAUGAAGAAGGUCGAAAGAUUGUAAAAUUCUUUUAUAAAUGAGGAAUAAGCUUUGUAGGAAAUGACAAAGUGAUGACGUUAAUUUAUGAAUAAGCCCCGGCUAAUUACGUGCCAGCAGCCGCGGUAAUACGUA
This 514-nucleotide ribosomal RNA is filed under the name Borreliella bissettiae. Its description in RNAcentral is "bacterial SSU rRNA". It matches the Rfam family "Bacterial small subunit ribosomal RNA", at positions 21 to 529 of the family's 1533-position model. Lineage: Bacteria; Pseudomonadati; Spirochaetota; Spirochaetia; Spirochaetales; Borreliaceae. The record is from RNAcentral.